GGAGAGAUGGUCGAGCUGGCUUAAGGCACCGGUCUUGAAAACCGGCGUACCUUUACGGGUACCGUGGGUUCAAAUCCCACUCUCUCCG
Molecule: transfer RNA, 88 nt
Filed under: Clostridium isatidis
Lineage: Bacteria; Bacillati; Bacillota; Clostridia; Eubacteriales; Clostridiaceae
Also listed under: 1 other name
Rfam family: tRNA
About the family: Transfer RNA (tRNA) molecules are approximately 80 nucleotides in length. Their secondary structure includes four short double-helical elements and three loops (D, anti-codon, and T loops). Further hydrogen bonds mediate the characteristic L-shaped molecular structure. tRNAs have two regions of fundamental functional importance: the anti-codon, which is responsible for specific mRNA codon recognition, and the 3' end, to which the tRNAs corresponding amino acid is attached (by aminoacyl-tRNA synthetases). tRNAs cope with the degeneracy of the genetic code in two manners: having more than one tRNA (with a specific anti-codon) for a particular amino acid; and 'wobble' base-pairing, i.e. permitting non-standard base-pairing at the 3rd anti-codon position.
Source: Rfam by way of RNAcentral